RNAcentral lists this ribosomal RNA (500 nucleotides) under uncultured bacterium. RNAcentral's name for it is "partial 16S ribosomal RNA". It matches the Rfam family "Bacterial small subunit ribosomal RNA", at positions 30 to 523 of the family's 1533-position model. The record is from RNAcentral.
AUUGAACGCUGGCGGAAUGCUUUACACAUGCAAGUCGAACGGCAGCACGGGGGCAACCCUGGUGGCGAGUGGCGAACGGGUGAGUAAUACAUCGGAACGUGCCCAGUCGUGGGGGAUAACGUAGCGAAAGUUACGCUAAUACCGCAUACGAUCUACGGAUGAAAGCGGGGGACCGUAAGGCCUCGCGCGAUUGGAGCGGCCGAUGUCAGAUUAGGUAGUUGGUGAGGUAAAGGCUCACCAAGCCGACGAUCUGUAGCUGGUCUGAGAGGACGACCAGCAACCCUGGGACGUAGGAACGGCCCGGACUCCUACGGGAGGCAGCAGUGGGGAAUUUUGGACAAUGGGCGCAAGCCUGAUCCAGCCAUUCCGCGUGCAGGACGAAGGCCUUCGGGUUGUAAACUGCUUUUGUACGGAACGAAAAGGCUCUGGUUAAUACCUGGGGCUCAUGACGGUACCGUAAGAAUAAGCACCGGCUAACUACGUGCCAGCCGCCGCCGUAA